This 441-nucleotide ribosomal RNA is filed under the name uncultured Pelagibacterales bacterium. RNAcentral describes it as "bacterial SSU rRNA". It matches the Rfam family "Bacterial small subunit ribosomal RNA", at positions 1077 to 1533 of the family's 1533-position model. The record is from RNAcentral. Lineage: Bacteria; Pseudomonadati; Pseudomonadota; Alphaproteobacteria; Candidatus Pelagibacterales.
UGGGUAGUCCGCACGAGCGCACCUUACUUUUAGUUGCUACCAUUUAGUUGGGCACUCUAAAAGAACUGCCAGUGAUAAGCUGGAGGAAGGUGGGGAUGACGUCAAGUCCUCAUGGCCCUUAUGUGUUGGGCUACACACGUGCUACAAUGGUAUUUACAGUGGGAUGCAAAGAGGCAACUCCAAGCCAACCCUCAAAGAAUACCUCAGUUCGGAUUGUACUCUGCAACUCGAGUACAUGAAGCUGGAAUUACUAGUAAUCGCGGAUCAGCGCGCCGCGGUGAAUACGUUCCCGGGUCUUGUACACACCGCCCGUCACACCAUGGAAGUUGGUUACACCUUAAGGCAAAGUGUAAAACCUUUGACUGCGGUACGAUCAGCGACUGGGGUGAAGUCGUAACAAGGUAGCCGUAGGGGAACCUGCGGCUGGAUCACCUCCUUUCU